AAGGAGCUAUGGAAACUCAUCUGAUUCCAGGUAUGAUGAUGGAAGAGGGACACCAGGAAACCCUCCCCAAAGAAUGGAUCAAAUCAGUCAUUUGCCCAUGGCUUGUGGACAAGGAAGGUAAAUGUCUACUCUAAGAAGCAGACAACUGGACAUACACAUUCAUAGCAGAAGGAAACCAUCAAGAAGUGGAGGGCUGACCAUGCUGGAGUAGUAGAUGAAAAUAUGUGUCUAAACGGGGACUUAUCUGUGUCCUCACAGAUGAAUGAGGUCAUGCUGGGAAUUCCCUCUGCAGGGAACCGGCCUGACUGACAUGCAGUUCCAUAAAUACAUGUUUCUCUCGUUUUUUUUCUGUAGUUUAUUUAAGUUUUAAUAUAGUU
This 377-nucleotide long non-coding RNA is filed under the name Homo sapiens (human). RNAcentral's name for it is "non-protein coding lnc-SEMA3D-2:1". Lineage: Eukaryota; Metazoa; Chordata; Mammalia; Primates; Hominidae. The record is from RNAcentral.